CUCUCUCUGCGGAAGCCAGCCACCGCUCUCCAAGGACUCUCGAGCAGCUCCAUCUACAGAUUCACAUGGAGAAGAAUUAAGGGUUCCUGCCAAUCACCAGCACCACUUUGCCAGCCUUGUAAGUGGGCCACCUUGGAAUUGGAGCCUCCAGUUCCUACUGACAUCUGACUGCAACAUCAUGAGAGACCCUGAGUUUGAACCACCCAGCUGAGCUGCUUCUGAGCUAACCCACUGAAACCGUGAAAGUACCUGAAUGAAACAACACCCAGUAGCCACUAGCACACCUAGCUCCCAGAUCUGUUUUUGAUGCCAUUCUUCAGUAAAAGGAAGCAAGGCUGCUUGGAGAAAUUGCUAUCAAGGACUGGGGUAGAAAAUAUACAAGAUGAAAUUGGAGCAUCUUGUAGUGCUUGAAAACAGUUGGCAUCUGUGUGAAGAUGUGAAUGGAGGAGGCAGAGUAGGCAGUGAGUGCCGCAGCCACAGCUUGUGUUCUCUGCAGCCCUGGCACAGAAGAUAGGAACACUCAUGGGGGAUGCGGCCACUGUGAUGUCUUCCCACACAAGAAGUGCCAAGUGCUUUUCUCAUGCUUUUCUGGAUUGUCCCAUGGUGGACGAGUCAGCAGGAGUGAGAUGGAGCAGCACAGUAGAGGGGUACCUGGCAAGGCCCGGAGGGAGGACCCCCUGCCCCAAACAUUUCAAUGAUAUCAGGUGUGCCACCUCUUUGAUCCAGCAAGUGGGAAGAACAGUCCCGGCCUCUUUGCACACAAGACCGUGAUACCAAUGCACCAUCACAGGCCCCACAGGGGAGCUGUCCGCUUCCCCACACAGCUGCUAGGGGCUCUUUUGCAUGUUCCCAACCUUUCCUGCCUUUAUCUGAUAUUCGUUCCUUAGAUCCUGGGAUGAGGAGGUGGACCAGCAGAAGGUGGGCUUGUGAAGGCAGCCCGGGGUCCAAAUCCUCCUGGCUCUUCAGCUUAGCGGGUUAGUUAACAUUCAGAAGCCUUCAUCUCCCAUCUGCAAAAUGGGCAUGUCCAACUCAGAAGCUGCCUUGAAGAAAGGGUCUACCCAGCAUGGUGCGUGGAGCCUAAGCAGUCAGUACUUCAGGACUUCACCCGGCCCCUUUCCAAUAACUGCUGCUGUCGCCCUCACAGGAUGUCACCUUCAGCGUCUGAAAGCUGGGUUUGAUGCGUCUGGAAAGGCGUCCCUGACAGGCGUCGUUGCCAGGAGCCCCUAGUGCCACCAGCAGCCAGCAGGGGAGGGCGUCCUCUGCCCGCUCACUUCUGACCCUUCUCUCGUUGCACCCGGAACAUGGUGCAGCUGGGAGCAGCCUGGGCUGCGCGGAAGGCUCAGAUUUGGGGACGGCCCUUGCCAGUGACUGUGAGCUGGGGUGUCUUGGAAACUCCCAGUCUCAGCUUCUCCAUUUAUAAGAUGAGAAUGAUCAUACCAGACUCAGGCAAGGUUGUUUGUGCAUUAGUGAAAUCAGACGUAUUAAAUAAAGUACCACAUUGAUCGUGGAGUUGUUGAAUAACCAAGAA
RNAcentral lists this long non-coding RNA (1528 nucleotides) under Homo sapiens (human). RNAcentral's name for it is "long intergenic non-protein coding RNA 658". Lineage: Eukaryota; Metazoa; Chordata; Mammalia; Primates; Hominidae. The record is from RNAcentral.